UGGGGAAUAUUGCACAAUGGGCGAAAGCCUGAUGCAGCAACGCCGCGUGAGUGAUGAAGGUCUUCGGAUUGUAAAGCUCUGUCUUUUGGGACGAUAAUGACGGUACCAAAGGAGGAAGCCACGGCUAACUACGUGCCAGCAGCCGCGGUAAUACGUAGGUGGCGAGCGUUGUCCGGAUUUACUGGGCGUAAAGGGUGCGUAGGCGGAUGUUUAAGUGAGAUGUGAAAUACCCGGGCUUAACUUGGGUGCUGCAUUUCAAACUGGAUAUCUAGAGUGCAGGAGAGGAGAAUGGAAUUCCUAGUGUAGCGGUGAAAUGCGUAGAGAUUAGGAAGAACACCAGUGGCGAAGGCGAUUCUCUGGACUGUAACUGACGCUGAGGCACGAAAGCGUGGGUAGCAAACAGGAUUAGAUACCCUGGUAGUCCACGCCGUAAACGAUGAGUACUAGGUGUAGGAGGUAUCGACCCCUUCUGUGCCGCAGUAAACACAUUAAAGUACUCCGCCUGGGA
This 508-nucleotide ribosomal RNA is filed under the name uncultured bacterium. RNAcentral describes it as "partial 16S ribosomal RNA". It matches the Rfam family "Bacterial small subunit ribosomal RNA", at positions 355 to 878 of the family's 1533-position model. The record is from RNAcentral.